UUGCCAGUCAUGUUUGGUUCUAUCUCAGG
RNAcentral lists this non-coding RNA (29 nucleotides) under Mus musculus (house mouse). The record is from RNAcentral. Lineage: Eukaryota; Metazoa; Chordata; Mammalia; Rodentia; Muridae.